GGGGCCUUAGCUCAGCUGGGAGAGCGCCUGCUUUGCACGCAGGAGGUCAGCGGUUCGAUCCCGCUANGCUCCA
Molecule: transfer RNA, 73 nt
Filed under: Streptococcus pneumoniae
Lineage: Bacteria; Bacillati; Bacillota; Bacilli; Lactobacillales; Streptococcaceae
Description: tRNA-Ala
Rfam family: tRNA
About the family: Transfer RNA (tRNA) molecules are approximately 80 nucleotides in length.
Source: RNAcentral